Molecule: ribosomal RNA, 406 nt
Filed under: uncultured bacterium
Lineage: Bacteria
Description: partial 16S ribosomal RNA
Rfam family: Bacterial small subunit ribosomal RNA
Source: RNAcentral
AUUGAACGCUGGCGGCAGGCCUAACACAUGCAAGUCGAGCGAGCGGCGGACGGGUGAGUAAUGUCUGGGAACCUGCCUGAUGGAGGGGGCUAACUACUGGAAACGGUAGCUAAUACCGCAUACAAUUAGAUCUGCCCAGAUGGGAUUAGCUAGUGGGUGGGGUAACGGCCCACCCAGGCAACGAUCCCUAGCUGGUCUGAGAGGAGGACCAGCCACACUGGAACUGAGACACGGUCCAGAGUCCUACGGGAGGCAGCAGUGGGGAAUAUUGCACAAUGGGCGCAAGCCUGAUGCAGCCAUGCCGCGUGUGUGAAGAAGGCCUUCGGGUUGUAAAGCACUUUCAGCGGGGAGGCGUUACCCGUAGAAGAAGCACCGGCUAACUCCGUGCCAGCAGCCGCGGUAAUUC